GACAGAGGUGCCAAGCGUUAGGCGGAAUCACUGGGCUUAAAGCGUGUGUAGGCGGCCCGUUAAGUGUCUUGUGAAAUCCCCCGGCUCAACCGGGGAACUGCUGGGCAUACUGGCGGGCUUGGGUCGCUCAGGGGCAGACGGAACAGGCGGUGGGAGCGGUGAAAUGACGUAGAUAUCGCCUGGAACGCCGAAGGUGAAAACAGUCUGCUGGGGGCGUACCG
RNAcentral lists this ribosomal RNA (221 nucleotides) under uncultured bacterium. RNAcentral describes it as "partial 16S ribosomal RNA". It matches the Rfam family "Bacterial small subunit ribosomal RNA", at positions 524 to 742 of the family's 1533-position model. The record is from RNAcentral.